GGCUAACCUGCCCUUGGGACAGGGAUAACCCCGGGAAACUGGGGCUAAUCCCUGAUAGGUGAGGGCUCCUGGAAUGGGCCCUUGCCGAAAGGGCGCCUGGACCAUGCCUCUAGGCGCCGCCCAAGGAUGGGGCCGCGGCCGAUCAGGUAGUUGGUGAGGUAACGGCUCACCAAGCCUAUAACCGGUACGGGCCGUGGGAGCGGGAGCCCGGAGAUGGGCACUGAGACAAGGGCCCAGGCCCUACGGGGCGCAGCAGUCGCGAAACCUCCGCAAUGCGCGAAAGCGCGACGGGGCCAUCCCGAGUGCCGCCCGCUGAGGGCGGCUUUUCCCCGGUGUAGACAGCCGGGGGAAUAAGGGGAGGGCAAGCCGGGUGUCAGCCGCCGCGGUAAUACCCGCUCCCCGAGUGGUGGGGACGCUUAUUGGGCCUAAAGCAUCCGUAGCCGGCCAGGCAAGUCCCCUGUUAAAUCCAGCGAUUCAAUCGCUGGCCUGCGGGGGAUACUGCCUGGCUAGGGGGCGGGAGAGGCCGGCGGUAUUCCCGGGGUAGGGGUGAAAUCCUAUAAUCCCGGGAGGACCACCAGUGGCGAAGGCUGCCGGCUAGAACGCGCCCGACGGUGAGGGAUGAAAGCUGGGGGAGCGAACCGGAUUAGAUACCCGGGUAGUCCCAGCUGUAAACGAUGCGGGCUAGGUGUUGGCACGGCUACGAGCCGUGUCAGUGCCGCAGGGAAGCCGUUAAGCCCGCCGCCUGGGGAGUACGGCCGCAAGGCUGAAACU
RNAcentral lists this ribosomal RNA (771 nucleotides) under Crenarchaeote enrichment culture. Its description in RNAcentral is "bacterial SSU rRNA". It matches the Rfam family "Archaeal small subunit ribosomal RNA", at positions 102 to 856 of the family's 1478-position model. The record is from RNAcentral. Lineage: Archaea; Thermoproteati; Thermoproteota.